GGCUCCGUAGCUCAGUGGAUAGAGCAACGGUUUCCUAAACCGUGGGUCGUCCGUUCAAUUCGGACCGGGGGCACAA
Molecule: transfer RNA, 76 nt
Filed under: Aquiluna sp.
Lineage: Bacteria; Bacillati; Actinomycetota; Actinomycetes; Micrococcales; Microbacteriaceae
Description: tRNA-Arg
Rfam family: tRNA
About the family: Transfer RNA (tRNA) molecules are approximately 80 nucleotides in length.
Source: RNAcentral